GGAUAGAUGGCCGAGUGGUCGAAGGCGCACGAUUGGAAAUCGUGUGUACGUCUAAAGCGUACCGAGGGUUCGAAUCCCUCUCUAUCCGCCA
Molecule: transfer RNA, 91 nt
Filed under: Rhodospirillales bacterium
Lineage: Bacteria; Pseudomonadati; Pseudomonadota; Alphaproteobacteria; Rhodospirillales
Also listed under: 1 other name
Description: tRNA-Ser
Rfam family: tRNA
About the family: Transfer RNA (tRNA) molecules are approximately 80 nucleotides in length. Their secondary structure includes four short double-helical elements and three loops (D, anti-codon, and T loops). Further hydrogen bonds mediate the characteristic L-shaped molecular structure. tRNAs have two regions of fundamental functional importance: the anti-codon, which is responsible for specific mRNA codon recognition, and the 3' end, to which the tRNAs corresponding amino acid is attached (by aminoacyl-tRNA synthetases). tRNAs cope with the degeneracy of the genetic code in two manners: having more than one tRNA (with a specific anti-codon) for a particular amino acid; and 'wobble' base-pairing, i.e. permitting non-standard base-pairing at the 3rd anti-codon position.
Source: RNAcentral